RNAcentral lists this ribosomal RNA (1372 nucleotides) under uncultured bacterium. RNAcentral describes it as "bacterial SSU rRNA". It matches the Rfam family "Bacterial small subunit ribosomal RNA", at positions 28 to 1381 of the family's 1533-position model. The record is from RNAcentral.
GAUGAACGCUGGCGGCGUGCCUAAUACAUGCAAGUCGAGCGAACGGACGAGAAGCUUGCUUCUCUGAUGUUAGCGGCGGACGGGUGAGUAACACGUGGAUAACCUACCUAUAAGACUGGGAUAACUUCGGGAAACCGGAGCUAAUACCGGAUAAUAUUUUGAACCGCAUGGUUCAAAAGUGAAAGACGGUCUUGCUGUCACUUAUAGAUGGAUCCGCGCUGCAUUAGCUAGUUGGUAAGGUAACGGCUUACCAAGGCAACGAUGCAUAGCCGACCUGAGAGGGUGAUCGGCCACACUGGAACUGAGACACGGUCCAGACUCCUACGGGAGGCAGCAGUAGGGAAUCUUCCGCAAUGGGCGAAAGCCUGACGGAGCAACGCCGCGUGAGUGAUGAAGGUCUUCGGAUCGUAAAACUCUGUUAUUAGGGAAGAACAUAUGUGUAAGUAACUGUGCACAUCUUGACGGUACCUAAUCAGAAAGCCACGGCUAACUACGUGCCAGCAGCCGCGGUAAUACGUAGGUGGCAAGCGUUAUCCGGAAUUAUUGGGCGUAAAGCGCGCGUAGGCGGUUUUUUAAGUCUGAUGUGAAAGCCCACGGCUCAACCGUGGAGGGUCAUUGGAAACUGGAAAACUUGAGUGCAGAAGAGGAAAGUGGAAUUCCAUGUGUAGCGGUGAAAUGCGCAGAGAUAUGGAGGAACACCAGUGGCGAAGGCGACUUUCUGGUCUGUAACUGACGCUGAUGUGCGAAAGCGUGGGGAUCAAACAGGAUUAGAUACCCUGGUAGUCCACGCCGUAAACGAUGAGUGCUAAGUGUUAGGGGGUUUCCGCCCCUUAGUGCUGCAGCUAACGCAUUAAGCACUCCGCCUGGGGAGUACGACCGCAAGGUUGAAACUCAAAGGAAUUGACGGGGACCCGCACAAGCGGUGGAGCAUGUGGUUUAAUUCGAAGCAACGCGAAGAACCUUACCAAAUCUUGACAUCCUUUGACAACUCUAGAGAUAGAGCCUUCCCCUUCGGGGGACAAAGUGACAGGUGGUGCAUGGUUGUCGUCAGCUCGUGUCGUGAGAUGUUGGGUUAAGUCCCGCAACGAGCGCAACCCUUAAGCUUAGUUGCCAUCAUUAAGUUGGGCACUCUAAGUUGACUGCCGGUGACAAACCGGAGGAAGGUGGGGAUGACGUCAAAUCAUCAUGCCCCUUAUGAUUUGGGCUACACACGUGCUACAAUGGACAAUACAAAGGGCAGCGAAACCGCGAGGUCAAGCAAAUCCCAUAAAGUUGUUCUCAGUUCGGAUUGUAGUCUGCAACUCGACUACAUGAAGCUGGAAUCGCUAGUAAUCGUAGAUCAGCAUGCUACGGAGAAGACGUUCCCGGGUCU